CAGAUUGUGGAUGCGGAUCAGCAUUUGCCGGACUUUAUGGGCUUGGUCGCAGCGAUGAAACGAAUCGUUCCUGAGUUUAAAUCUCAGAAUUCCGA
This 95-nucleotide transfer RNA is filed under the name compost metagenome. Its description in RNAcentral is "tRNA-Ile". The record is from RNAcentral.